This 497-nucleotide ribosomal RNA is filed under the name uncultured bacterium. RNAcentral's name for it is "partial 16S ribosomal RNA". It matches the Rfam family "Bacterial small subunit ribosomal RNA", at positions 28 to 507 of the family's 1533-position model. The record is from RNAcentral.
GAUGAACGCUGGCGGCGUGCCUAAUACAUGCAAGUCGAGCGAACAGACGAGGAGCUUGCUCCUCUGACGUUAGCGGCGGACGGGUGAGUAACACGUGGAUAACCUACCUAUAAGACUGGGAUAACUUCGUGAAACCGGAGCUAAUACCGGAUAAUAUAUUGAACCGCAUGGUUCAAUAGUGAAAGACGGUUUUGCUGUCACUUAUAGAUGGAUCCGCGCCGCAUUAGGUAGUUGGUAAGGUAACGGCUUACCAAGGCAACGAUGCGUAGCCGACCUGAGAGGGUGAUCAGCCACACUGGAACUGAGACACGGUCCAGACUCCUACGGGAGGCAGCAGUAGGGAAUCUUCCGCAAUGGGCGAAAGCCUGACGCAGCAACGCCGCGUGAGUGAUGAAGGUCUUCGGAUCGUAAAACUCUGUUAUUAGGGAAGAACAAAUGUGUAAGUAACUAUGCACCUCUUGACGGUACCUAAUCAGAAAGCCCCGGCUAACUACGUG